Homo sapiens (human) is the source of this 2348-nucleotide long non-coding RNA. RefSeq lists it as uncharacterized. Lineage: Eukaryota; Metazoa; Chordata; Mammalia; Primates; Hominidae. The record is from RefSeq and is marked validated. The transcript has a single exon.
CGCGGGCCUCGCGCUCGCAGGCCUCGGGUACCGGCCGCGCCGUCUGCCCAUCCCGACGGCGGCCCGGCGUGGGGAAGCAACGGUGGCAGGGACAGGAUGGAAGGGCCGCGCUCCGCAUCCUACUGGGAGGGGACGAGUUCAGGCUGCGGCGGCUGCGGUCGCGGGACACUGGGCGCUCCCGGCCUGGCUCCGGGAUAACCGGGCGGGGCCUGGGCCAUUCACUGCCUCGGUUUCCCCCGGUUGGCCUCGCGCGUAGGCGCCGGCGCCCCCAUCCCCGCCCAGAGCUGUGGGGCCGCAGAGACCCAGCCGGGGCGACCCCGGAGCCUGGCCCGGGGUCCCUCGGGCGGCCGAGUCCUCCCGCCGCCAGGGGCCGCCCCCGCCCCUUUGCGGCCCACGAGGCUGGCGGCGGCGUCCGGGCACGCGGUCUCCAGGCCCGGCCGCGAGGCUGCGGGGAGGAGCCUGCACGAGGGCCCGGCAGCCCCGGCAGCCCCCCCAGCCCUCGGCGCCUCUGCAACCCUGCGACGGGCUGGGGAGGCCGGUAUGCGUGGUUCCCGGAGCACCCGUCCCCCGAGGCUCCACGUACUCAAGCGUUUCUGGGGCGGAAUUCUGUGGGCAGCAACGGGGGCCCCCUCUCCAACAAGCGCACCUCAUUUCUCACGUGGGAGCCGCGGCCCAGAGAGCUGAGGUGACAGAGCUUGGGCCGCAGAGCUGCUCCCUCCCUGCAGCCGCACAGCAGGCCGGAGGCACAGCCGGCGAGAGACGGCCACUCGCUUUGGAGCGGCGGCGAGGCCGGCGCCUUCCCGGGCACCAGGGACUGCGUGGCUUGGCCGGAAAUCAGGCUAGAAGCAGCUCCGGGAAGCACAGCCCUUAGCCCAGCGCCUUCCCACACUGUGGCAGGAAUAGCACUGGCGGCCCACGCGCUUGUCAGGGAACAGAACAGCUCUCGCCCGACGCCUGGCAGGGGAGCAGGGAGGCUGCAGCUUCCCCAGCGACCAGCUGUUUCCCAGGCUGGCGGACUCCACGGACCGGCUCCGCGUCUCCUCUCCAGCCUUCUGUUCUCUCUAGAGGAAGAUCUGCGUUUUGUCUGCACUGUGGGCCGACUCUCUAGUGGGGAGCGUCAGACCCUCUAAAGUGGCUGCCUCUCGGGAAAGCUUCCACACCUGUCAUCAGAUUCUCCAAAGGGGCUGUUUGAUGCAAGAAACGGGAAGCCCCGGGGGUACUAGGAGCAGGGCUUGCUGCCAUUGGGCAUGGUGAGGCCCCGGCACCCUGCCCAGGACGGGCCUGUGGGCUGAGCUGCAGAUGGGCAUUGAGGAUGCCCCAACAGCAAGGUGCAGAAGGCAUCCAGAAGCAAAGGAAACUGAUGACCAGCGUCAAAAACAAACAAAAAAAGGGAACUUGGCUCGGCGGUGGCUCACGCCUGUAGUCCCAGCACUUUGGGAGGCAGAGACAGGUGGAUCACGAGGUCAGAAGUCCAAGACCAGCCUGGCCAACAUGGUGAAAUCCCGUCUCUACUAAAAAUACAAAAAUUAUCCAGGCGUGGUGGUGUGUGCCUGUAAUCCUAGCUACUCGGGAGGCUGAGGCAGAAGAAUCGCUUGAACCCGGGAGGUGGAGCCUACAGUGAGUCAACAUGAAGCCAGUGCACGCCAGCCUGGGCGACAGACUCUGUGUUUGUGUGUGUGUGGGGGGGGGAGGGCGGGGCGAGGCGAAGGGAACUUGAGGUUUAAAGCAGGGGGAGGAGGGCCGGAAAUGCUCCCCGCCGCCCCCGACACUCACUCGCCCCAGGCCCCAUCCUAGCCCAGGGUCAGUGUCAUUCCCUUCACCUUAGCCUCUCACUGCCCAAAGAGGCUUACUUUUCUUCUUUAAACUGCUGUUAAAAUUUGGGAGGAAACGGAAAGCAAGGGCACCUGAUGGUUCAGUGCAGCUUCAGGUUAGAGGGGCAUUUGAGGUGCCUGAGCUGGGGGAGGGCCUUCCCCCUGAGGGACUGGGAGAAGGGUAAGCCAUGUGCCCUGGAAGCACUGCAGGGAGCCUCAGAUUUGCACCCCCUGGCUCACACUCGCUGGCGCCAGCCAGCAUGGCAGGGAUGGGCGGGGCUGGUUCUUAGGUUUCCUGCUCUUUGGGUGCUAGCACCCAGGGUAAGGAGACACCCAUGUCCGGUUGCAAGACAAACCCUUCUACCUCCUUUCCUGCCAAAGGCCACCAGCAUCCUCUGCCUCAAUCUCAAUCUUUGGAACUUUUUAGCUCCAAAGUGGUUUGAUGACCACAGGCUAAAAUUCAUAGUCUUAAAAUUUUAGAUAGUUAAGAGACAGAUCUGUUACAGGUUUUCAAAUAAACUGGUCUAUCUAGUGUAA